Molecule: ribosomal RNA, 885 nt
Filed under: uncultured bacterium
Lineage: Bacteria
Description: bacterial SSU rRNA
Rfam family: Bacterial small subunit ribosomal RNA
Source: RNAcentral
AGAGUUUGAUCCUGGCUCAGGAUGAACGCUGGCGGCGUGCCUAACACAUGCAAGUCGAACGAAGAGGCCCCUUCGGGGGUACUUCAGUGGCGGACGGGUGAGUAACACGUAGGCGACCUGCCCCGAAGCAGGGAAUAACGGCUCGAAAGGGCCGCUAAUACCCAAAAGGGUCGCGUAUCAAAGCGCGAUCAGAGUUACGGCGUUUCGGGAGGGGCCUGCGGCCCAUCAGCUAGUUGGUAGGGUAACGGCCUACCAAGGCGACGACGGGUAGGGGGCCUAAGAGGGCGACCCCCCACAUUGGCACUGACACACGGGCCAAACUCCUACGGGAGGCAGCAGUGAGGAAUAUUGCACAAUGAGCGAAAGCUAGAUGCAGCAACGCCGCGUGGACGAUGAAGGCCUUCGGGUCGUAAAGUCCUUUUCAGGGGGACGAGUGAGGACGGUACCCCUGGAAUAAGUCACGGCUAACUACGUGCCAGCAGCCGCGGUAAAACGUAGGUGGCGAGCGUUAUCCGGAUUCACUGGGCGUAAAGCGCCUGCAGGCGGUCUCGUAAGUGGGAUGUGAAAUCUCCUGGCUUAACUGGGAGAGGUCAUUCCAUACUGCGGGACUGGAGGGCAGAAGAGGGGAGUGGAAUUCCCGGUGUAGUGGUGAAAUGCGUAGAUAUCGGGAGGAACACCAGUGGCGAAGGCGACUCCCUGGUCUGCUCCUGACGCUAAGAGGCGAAAGCUAGGGGAGCGAACGGGAUUAGAAACCCCGGUAGUCCUAGCCAUAAACGAUGGAUACUAGGUGUUGGUGGUCCUAACCCCAUCAGUGCCGAAGCUAACGCGUUAAGUAUCCCGCCUGGGGACUACGGCCGCAAGGUUAAAACUUAAAGGAAUUGACGG